This 970-nucleotide ribosomal RNA is filed under the name uncultured bacterium. Its description in RNAcentral is "bacterial SSU rRNA". It matches the Rfam family "Bacterial small subunit ribosomal RNA", at positions 1 to 980 of the family's 1533-position model. The record is from RNAcentral.
UCUUCCCCCUUAGAGUUUGAUCAUGGCUCAAGAUGAACGCUAGCGGCAGGCCUAAUACAUGCAAGGCGAGGGGUUGGCAACAACACCGUCGUACGGGUGCGUAACGCGUAUGCAACCUACCUAUCACAGGGGGAUAGCCUUUGGAAACAGGGAUUAAUACCGCAUAAAGCAGGGGCUUGGCAUCAAGAUACUGCUAAAGAUUUAUCGGUGAUAGAUGGGCAUGCGUCUGAUUAGUUAGAUGGUGAGGUAACGGCUCACCAUGACGAUGAUCAGUAGGGGGCGUCAGAGCGUGCUCCCCCACACUGGCACUGAGAUACGGGCCACACUCCUACGGGAGGCAGCAGUAGGGAAUAUUGGUCAAUGGACGAAAGUCUGAACCACCCAUCCCGCGUGCAGGAUGAAGGUCCUAUGGAUUGUAAACUGCUUUUAACAAAAAAAAAAAGCAUCCUUUUAAGGGUGUCUGACGGUAUCUGCGGAAUAAGCACCGGCUAACUCCGUGCCAGCAGCCGCGGUAAUACGGAGGGUGCAAGCGUUAUCCGGAAUCACUGGGUUUAAAGGGUGCGUAGGCGGAAUAUUAAGUCAGUGGUGAAAGCCUGUCGCUUAACGAUAGAACUGCCAUUGAUACUGAUAUUCUUGAAUUGGGUUGAGGUUAGCGGAAUGUGACAUGUAGCGGUGAAAUGCAUAGAUAUGUCAUGGAAACACCAAUUGCGAACGCAGCUAGCUGGUUCCUUGAUUGACGCUGACGCACGAAAGCGUGGGUAGCGAACAGGAUUAGAUACCCCUAAUAGUCCACGCCCUAACGAUGCGAACUUGGGAUGUUGGGCUCAACUUGGCAGCUCAGUAUCGAGCUACGCGUUAGUCCGCCGCUGGGAGGAGGUACGGUCGCAGACUGAACUCAAUGUAAUGACGCGCCGACAGCGAGAAGAAAUAGGGAUAAUUCGAUGGCACGCGAAAAUAUCCUUACCCUAGU